CCUACGGGUGGCUGCAGUGGGGAAUAUUGGACAAUGGGGGAAACCCUGAUCCAGCAAUGCCGCGUGUGUGAAGAAGGCCUGCGGGUUGUAAAGCACUUUCGGUUGGGAAGAAAAGUUUGGCGCCAAUACCGCCGAACAUUGACGUUACUGACAGAAGAAGCACCGGCUAACUCUGUGCCAGCAGCCGCGGUAAUACAGAGGGUGCCAGCGUUAGUCGGGAUCACUGGGGUUGAAAUGCAAGUCGGGUGUGAAAUCCCCGGGCUUAACCUGGGAACUGCAUGCGAUACUACAUGGCUAGAGUAUGGUAGAGGGAAGUGGAAUUUCCGGUGUAGCGGUGAAAUGCGUAGAUAUCGGAAGGAACACCAAUGGCGAAGGCAGCUUCCUGGACUAAUACUGACACUGAGGCACGAAAGCGUGGGUAGCAAACAGGAUUAGAUACCCGUGUAGUC
RNAcentral lists this ribosomal RNA (449 nucleotides) under uncultured bacterium. Its description in RNAcentral is "partial 16S ribosomal RNA". It matches the Rfam family "Bacterial small subunit ribosomal RNA", at positions 338 to 795 of the family's 1533-position model. The record is from RNAcentral.